UACGAAGGGGGCUAGCGUUGCUCGGAAUCACUGGGCGUAAAGCGCACGUAGGCGGCUUUCUAAGUCAGGGGUGAAAUCCUGGAGCUCAACUCCAGAACUGCCUUUGAUACUGGGAAGCUCGAGUCCGGAAGAGGUGAGUGGAACUCCGAGUGUAGAGGUGAAAUUCGUAGAUAUUCGGAAGAACACCAGUGGCGAAGGCGGCUCACUGGUCCGGUACUGACGCUGAGGUGCGAAAGCGUGGGGAGCGAACCGG
Molecule: ribosomal RNA, 253 nt
Filed under: uncultured bacterium
Lineage: Bacteria
Description: partial 16S ribosomal RNA
Rfam family: Bacterial small subunit ribosomal RNA
Source: RNAcentral